GGUUGGCGCUGCGGUGGCGUUUCCUACUGUGGUAGCCUCCGCUUCCCAGUCGUCUGCUGAGCUUGAGCAGGUGAGGGGGAUGCUCCUGGACUUCCAGGUUGGGGAGCGGGGCUGGGCCGCGCCAGGCCGCGCGGGGCCGGGUUGGCUUGGUUCCCGGCCUGGGAGGGGCUUAACGGUCCUUUGAUCUCUCUCUCUCCCCUCAGCUGAGUCCCUUCCCUGUCUUUCACUCUUCUGGCAUCGGUGGCUUUACUUCUUCGAUUGAGCUCUGCUUCCUCGACCCCCCGGGAGGCCGCCUCCUUCAGGCGCCUCCCUUCUCUCUACGAACUCGCUCUGACAGCCGAGGAACUGGCAAGAUCCUGCACCCAGAGGGUGAAUGGGUAUCUUUCCCGGAAUAAUCCUAAUUUUUCUAAGGGUGAAGUUUGCAACGGCGGCAGUGAUUGUAAGCGGAGUAAGCAACCCCCUCCAUUGUAUAAGUGUGAGGGAUGCUGUUGAAAGAUGCUCCCCAUCACUUCCUAUCCCCCUGUCACUCGUGAGGUUCAGGCAUUGAAGGCAUCUAUUAAAAUGCAGUUCAGUUACUUGAUUGGGAUCACAGCUAUUAUCAACAUGAAUUUUGUUUCUCAGACAAGGUAGUAGCAGGGACAUUUAUAGUUUUCUACCAGUGUGUCCUUGCCCAAACCAUAGAGAUGCCUAGACUAGAAAUUAACUCUUUCCUCCUCUUCAUUUAUAUCAUGAAGUGUCUUUUGUCAAUGUCUCAACAGUUUAACCUCAUUGUCAAUUAGCAUUCUUUUUUUUUUUUUUUGCCUGCUUCCCACUCUCCUAAGCUAUUUUCCUACCUCUUCUGUUUGCAAUCCACCGUGCUCGGGGUCCCUAGUAGCUAAUUACAAUAGGCUAUUACCUUAAUUCACUUGCCUAUUAAUAGAUCUAGUCUUCCUCCAGCACCUUGUUUCCAAGCCUUCCAGUAGAAUCUACCCCUUUUACUUGUUUCAGCCAACAAAUUUAUUGCUUAUUCUGCUCGGGUCCUUCAUUUCUGUCUCAGUACAAACCAUUGGUGCACAUUUCUACAUGAGUGUGCGCAUUUGCACAUCUUACCCCACCUAGAUGUCUCCCUUCCCUGCUCCUUUUUUUUAUAUUAAAGAUUUAUUUAUUUAUUAUAUGUAAGUACCCUGUAGCUAUCUUCAGACACUCCAGAAGAGGGCAUCAGAUCUCAUUACGGAUGGUUGUGAGCCACCGUGUGGUUGCUGGGAUUUGAACUCAGGACCUUCGGAAGAACAGUCAGUGCUCUUACCCGCUGAGCCAUCUCGCCAGCCCCUCCUUCCCUGCACCUAACCAGAUUCAGUCGGCUCUGUGGAAACCCGGCUUAAGUUCUCUCACUUCCAACAGCUUUUACAAGUUGUUUACACACAUGCGAUUGUUUUCUGUGCUUCUCUUGAUCUCAUAGACUGCUCUACGUUUUAACACUUCAUUUUUCUCUAACAAAGUAUUCAAUUUCAUCCACCAGAUGAUUGGGCAGAAAAGAUAGGAAGAAUGGCAAUUACUGUCUUUUGUUAGAUUAUAUUUGUGAAUUUAUUGGUUUUUUUUUUUUUUUUGUAACAGGGUUUCGCUAUAUAGAUCAGGCUGGCUGCACUCACCGAGAUCCACCCAUUUUAUCUCUCAGGUGCUGGAUUCAAAGGCAGGCAUCACCACACCCUGCUGUGAUUACAAAACAAACAAACAUGACCAAUUAGAUUAUUAACAAAUUGCUGGUUUGAGUAUUGAGUAUGCCUUCAACACAUAGAUUUAGGCUCCCAAUUGCUAUCUUCUAAACAUGAGAAUUUCUAAUACCUACUCUUUCUUAAAGGAGAAACCAAGAAGGUUAACCAGAAUUUCCUGACCAGACUUUGAAGUAAGUGUAGGGGCUAUAUAAUAUGGAUUCUAGGAUCUUUUAUUUUCACUUGUUAGGCUAUCAAGAUAGCCAUAAUCAGAUCUUAUGAAGAGAUGUACAAAUUCUGAAGCCAGAUUUUACUGGUAUCUUUCUAUAAUAAAAAUAUUUAGGGUACUGUAUUUAUAUUGUUCCUUAGAUAAUGACUUCUGUAUUUUCACCCAAAACUGAGGUUAACAUUUACAAGUCAAAAUAACUUUGAAAGGAGUUUGGUAUACUUUACAAAGCAAUUCUCUGCAACAAAACCAAGAGGCAAGGGUUUGUAGGUAGAAACUUUGGCAAUGAGAGUGUUGAGCAGGGUGUAUAGUAUAGUCUAGAGGCAGCAAAUUCCUUUUGCGGCUUCCUCUAUAAUGGUUUAUAUACAGUUGCAUACACAAGAUAGUCAACGACUGGUUUGUUUGGACUCAUUCUGUGAUAACUCCUAUGAGGUUUAUAAGAAGUUUUGCAAAGUGUGGUGUCGUCUUUUUAGGAAUCUUACCUAUUUAAGAGGGGAAGAGACAGGACACCUAGAGAAUAAACCUCACCUUACUCAUCAUUUUAUGCCUGAAUUUAAGAUGUCAGAGAAAAAAGGUUCUCAGAAAUAUGCAUAGCUGUAGAACAGGUGGGACAUAACUUGCAUACAUGAUACAGCUUUGUGUGAAAGACGGGUAUUUGCUGGAACAUUAAUGUUUCAGUUGUGGAAUGUGCCUCUCUCAAAGAAACAGAGGUUUUCAGCCUUAGUAACUAAAUUAAAACACAUAGGAUGUAGGAAACGAUCAGGAGUAUUUAGUCUGAGAAAGAAAAUAUAGAAACAUGAAAACUGACUUUAAAUAUUUGAAGGGCUCCUUUGGGGGAAAAUUAAUUUGUUCAGUGUACCUCUAAAUUGUUCUAGUAUGAGGAAGGGGUGGUAUAAAGUCUAAUCAGAAGUGAUACAAAAUUUCUUUCGUGAUUUUCCUUUCUAACAUUGAACUGAAAGAGUUUAUCUUGUGUGACUGGGGAGGUGCUAUAAGGGACCAUCUUGAUUUUGGUCAGUUGUCUACAGGGUUGAGUAAUUUUAUGGGCUAAUGAAAUUUAAAUCAAAGUAUGGUGGUGGGGAUACCUAUAAAGAUUGGUAUGCUUAUUUUAUCAAAUAAGGGCAUUAAAUAUUAACUACUCAUUACCAUUAUCAUUUUAUAUAAGAUGAUUUGUCAGUGUCCCAGGGAUAAUGAUAUAAUUAAUAGCCAUCUAAUGGCAUAUAUUUAGCC
This 3141-nucleotide long non-coding RNA is filed under the name Mus musculus (house mouse). RNAcentral's name for it is "long non-coding RNA chrX:48623758-48626899". The record is from RNAcentral. Lineage: Eukaryota; Metazoa; Chordata; Mammalia; Rodentia; Muridae.